This 69-nucleotide transfer RNA is filed under the name Rattus argentiventer (rice-field rat). RNAcentral's name for it is "tRNA-Pro". It matches the Rfam family "tRNA". Rfam says of the family: Transfer RNA (tRNA) molecules are approximately 80 nucleotides in length. Their secondary structure includes four short double-helical elements and three loops (D, anti-codon, and T loops). The record is from RNAcentral. Lineage: Eukaryota; Metazoa; Chordata; Mammalia; Rodentia; Muridae.
UCAAGAAGUAGUUUAAUUAGAAUAUCAGCUUUGGGUGUUGAUGGUGGGGAGUUAGUUCCUUCUUCUUGA